RNAcentral lists this non-coding RNA (70 nucleotides) under Schistosoma mansoni. The record is from RNAcentral. Lineage: Eukaryota; Metazoa; Platyhelminthes; Trematoda; Strigeidida; Schistosomatidae.
CAACAAACUCCACCAGUAGCUCUUCUAGAGUUACUGUCGGUCCCAAGCCCGGGUAAAGGAGGAGGGUUGG